RNAcentral lists this long non-coding RNA (24518 nucleotides) under Cucumis sativus (cucumber). RNAcentral describes it as "long non-coding RNA (CSAT_LNC003068)". Lineage: Eukaryota; Viridiplantae; Streptophyta; Magnoliopsida; Cucurbitales; Cucurbitaceae. The record is from RNAcentral.
UGGUCUCGUCAGGGGAAAAUAAAUUGUUAAAGUUCUAUUGGGACACCCUGUACAGUCGCAGUCUUGUGAUCCCGUAUGAUACACAUUUCAGUCUAACGCCCCGAAGGACGUACAUAUCAGUCUGACGCCCCGAGGGACGUACAUAUCAGUCAAGUGUUCUGCAGAACACAUAUAGUCAAAUGCUCCCGAAGGUGCAAAAUAAAUUGGUGAUCCCGUGGGACACCUACAAGGUAAUCAUCCCAAUACAACCUAACAAUCUAUCCCCUCAUUCCAUUCAACCAUCCUUCAGAUACUUCAAAACAUAGAGUUCUUUCUCUCAACGUCCUAACAGUCAACUUAUCUCACUUAGGUCAUAUGUCUGUCAAUAACAUACUAAUACAUCAGUCAAUCAAACUAUACAGUCAAUACACCCCUCAGAUCACCAGCACACAGUCAUACUUUAGCGUAACGACACCCAAUCUAAACGACAAUCACAAGAUCGCAUCUGCAUCUCAUACAAGCAUAAUCUACAAUUUUCGUCCUGUCCACAUCCACACACAUAUAUAUAUAUUCCAUGACAAUCACAAUAUGCAUUCCACAUUAAGUCUACUUCAAUUCCUAUGCAUAUGUAUAUAUAUUUUCAGUCAAUCCACAGUGUACAUUCAGCACCGAAUCUACACCCAUACGUGUGUAAACAUAAGUAUCAUCUCAACAUCUUUACUCAGUCAAAGAUAAUCAUUCAGACAUGCAAUUCACAAUCAUAAGUGAGUCCAGUAGAAAAUCCCUUACCUUCAAAUUUGUUAAGCUCCUUAACCACGUUAAGUCUAUGAAGAACGAACCUAAACAUUAAGACAAUUUCUCAAUAAUUCCCUUCAACGCAUCAGUCAUUUAAUUUCAACCCAAUGUGAAUCUUUUUGCAACUUACCCAAAUCUUCACGAAAGAAAUCGAGCAGUGGCUUUGCGAAGAGAUGACGUGCGACGGAGAGACCGUAUACAGAUGGCCGGAGAGUCGCGCGGCAGUGCAGACGACGGAGGAGAAGGAAUCGGCGGCGGCUGGGCUGAAAACAGAGGAGAAAGGAGAGGGGAGACAGCGGCGGUUACAGGUUCACGCGGCGGCCUUGCUUCGCGAACAGAGAUGGCGGCCGACGGUUGCAGCGACGGAAGAGCAACGGCGCCGCAGAUCUGGACUGGCAGCGGCGCAGUCUUGCUUCGCGGUGGGCUGCGGACGGAAGAAGAAAAUGGAAAGAAAGGAUCGGCGGCUAGCUGCGGACGGGAAGAAGAAGAUAGAGGUGUGGUUGCGGCUGGGCUGCGGUUGGCUGCGGCGGGACGGGAAGAAGAAGAUAGAGGCGGCGGCGUGGAGCGGAGAAGAAAAGAGGAAGAAAAAGAAGAAAGAAAAGAGAAAGGAAAAGAGAAGAGAACGGGGGGGGGGCUGUGCAGCGCGCGAGAGAGAGAGAGAGAGAAAUUUCUUUCUUUUCUUUUUUUAUUUAUUUAUAAUUAAAUAAAUAAAUAUAUAUAUAUAUAUAUAUAUAAAAUAAAAACAAAAUAUAUAUAUAUAUAUAUACCUUUGGGCAUUACAUUCUUCCCUCCUUAAGAAACUUUCGUCCUCGAAAGUUUUAAUCCUGAAAUAACUCUGGAUAACGAGUCCUCAUCUCUUCCUCUCGCUCCCAUGUCGCCUCUUCAAUUCGAUGAUUCCGCCACAAAACCUUUACUAAUGGAAUGCUUCUAUUACGAAGCAUCUUUACCUCUCUAGCCAGAAUCUCCACAGGUUGUUCUACAUAGCUCAAAUGCUCAUCAAUCUCCAAGGGUUCAUAGUCCACUACAUGAGACGUAUCGGCCACAUACUUCCUCAACAUCGAAACAUGAAAACAUUAUGAACUGCAGAGAGAGAUGGUGGUAAUGCCAAGCGAUACGCCACAACACCAACCCUCUCUAAGAUCUCAAAUGGUCCAACAAAACGAGGACUUAACUUUCCUUUCUUCUCAAAACGCAUAACACCCUUCAUAGGUGCUACCUUCAAGAAUACCUUUUCUCCCACAUCGAACUUAAGGUCUUUUCGCCGUACAUCGCAUAACUCUUCUGUCUACUCUGCGCUGUUUGCAUACGUGCUCUAAUCUUUUGAAUAGCCUCAUUAGUAGACCGAACUAAUUCAGGUCCCAUCAAUCUAUGUUCACCAACCUCACUCCAACAAACAGGGGUUCUACAACAUUUGCCAUACAAAGCCUCAAAUGGUGCCAUACCGAUGGUAGCCUGGAAACUGUUGUUAUAAGCAAACUCCAUCAAAUGUAGAUGAGAGUCCCAACUACCUGGAAACUCUAUAACACAAGCUCGUAGCAUAUCCUCUAAAACUUGGUUCAAACGUUCAGUUUGACCAUCAGUCUGUGGAUGAAAGGCUGUACUGAAAUCCAAUCUCGUACCCAUAGCAGUCUGAAGUCCCUUCCAAAACUUGGAAGUAAACCGUGCAUCCCUAUCAGAAACAAUCGAUACAGGCACUCCAUGCAGUCUCACAAUCUCAGUUAAAUACAACUCUGCCCACUUACUAGCAGUAUAAGUGGAUUUUCCUGGUACAAAAUGUGCCGAUUUCGUAAGCCUGUCUAUGACAACCAGAAUCACUGUGAAACCCUUCAGGGUCUUAGGCAGCCCUGAAAUAAAAUCCAUCGACACAUUCUCCCACUUCCACUCUGGCACACUUAAAGGUUGUAAAAACCUGCUGGUUUCUGUCUAGGUGCCUUAACUUGCUGACAUACUAGACACUUACUAACAAAUUCCGCCACUUCUUUUCAUAUUCCGCCACCAAUAAAAUCGUUUUAGAUCCUGAUACAUUUUCGUGCUACCAGGAUGCAUGGAAAAUGGGGAAUUAUGGGCUUCAUCUAGUAAGUCAAUCUUAACUGUACUGUUCGCUGGCACACAUAAACGUCUCUCAAACAUCAACCCACCAUCAGAGGAUAUGGAGAACUCAUCAGUCUGCCCUGUUUCAACAAGGCGACGUCUCUCCAUCAAAUAAGGAUCAUUACUCUGAGCAUCAACAAUCUUGUGCCUCAGAGUCGGUUGCACCGUUAAUUGAGCUAGCUGUGAGGUGACUCUCCCCACAGACACUGCAAUCUCAGCUCUCUCCAAGUCUCGAUGCAAUGGUACCUGUCUAGUAAUGAGUGCUGCCGAAUGUGAUACUUUUCUACUAAGAGCAUCAGCCACCACAUUCGCCUUACCAGGAUGGUAUAAUAUCUCACAGUCAUAAUCUUUUACCAACUCGAGCCACCUUCGCUGUCUCAUAUUCAACUCCUUCUGAGUGAAGAAGUACUUUAGGCUCUUAUGGUCAGUAAAGAUUUGUAUCUUUUCACCGUACAAGUAAUGUCUCCAUAUCUUCAAUGCAAAAACCACUGCUGCCAACUCCAAAUCAUGUGUGGGGUAGUUCUGCUCGUGACUCUUCAACUGACGAGAGGCAUAAGCAACCACCUUACCUUUCUGCAUCAAAACACAACCCAGUCCUUUCUUGGAAGCAUCACUGUAAAUCACAAAACUUCCAGAUCCAUCUGGUACAGUAAGGACCGGUGCAGUAACUAACCUUUGCUUAAGGUUCUGAAAACUAUCCUCACAAGCUGGACUCCAAACAAACGGAGUUCCCUUCCUUGUCAACUGAGUCAAAGGAGUAGCCAAACGUGAAAAAUCCUCCACAAACCUCCGGUAGUACCCUGCUAAACCCAGAAAACUACGAACCUCACAACUGUGGAGGGUCGAGACCAACUGGUAACCGCUUCUAUCUUUGCAGGGUCUACUGAAACUCCCUCACUGGAAACCACAUGACCAAGAAAAGCCACCUGCUUCAACCAAAAUUCGCACUUCGAGAACUUAGCAUACAGUUUAUUGCUCGAAGAGUCUCUAAUACCUUAUGUAAUGUUCCUCAUGUUCGACUUCAGUCUUGGAAUAAACCAAAAUAUCAUCAAUGAAGACUAUCACAAAAGUGUCCAAGAAAUCCUUAAACACCCUGUUCAUCAAAUCCAUAAAUACAGCAGGUGCAUUAGUCAAACCAAAAGACAUCACUAUGAAUUCAUAAUGUCCAUACCUCGAACGAAAGCAGUCUUAGGAAUAUCACGGUCUCUAAUCCUCAACUGGUGAUAACCUGACCGUAAGUCAAUCUUAGAGAACACCGUGGCUCCCUGUAACUGAUCGAACAAAUCAUCGAUUCUGGGUAAAGGAUACCUGUUCUUGACUGUUACUUUAUUCAACUCUCUAUAGUCAAUGCAAAGACGCAUCGACCCAUCCUUCUUCUUCACAAACAAUACUGGUGCACCCCAAGGUGACACACUAGGUCGAAUAAAGCCUUUGUCAAGCAAUUCCUGUAACUGUACCUUCAGUUCUUUCAACUCAGCAGGAGCCAUCCUAUAAGGGGCUCUAGAAAUAGGAGUAGUGUUUGGCUCCAACUCAAUGCAAAAUCAACCUCUCUAUGUGGCGGCAGUCCUGGAAGAUCUUUUGGAAAUACAUCUGGGUUUCUUUACCACAGGUUUGAAGUUAAAGAAGUCUCACCUUCCCUAGUAUCCACCACACUUGCCAAAAUACUCCAAGUACCCUGGCUGAGUAGUUUACUAGCUUUCAUAGCUGAGAUUACUUUAGGCAGUACUACUGUUCCUACUCCCUUGAAUUUAAAGCUAGAUGCAGUAGGGGGACUAAACACAACUUCCUUACGAGAACAAUCAAUACUAGCAUGAUUAGUAGCUAGCCAAUCCAUCUAAAAUUACAUCAAAGUCACGCAUAUCUAAUACCAACAAGGUUACGUCCAGUACACGACCAGCUAUUUCAAUUUCACAUGCUUUAAUCUUUUCCUUAGACAACAUAAUUUCUCCAGACGGUGUAGACACUGACAAAACAUAGUCUAAGGGUUCCACUUCUAAGCAUGCAUGCGUCAAAAAAGCGAUGAAAUAAAUGAAUGAGAAGAUCCCGAGUCAAACAAGGUCAAGGCAAAUGCCCAAUACUGGUAACGUACCUGUCACUACUGUGCCGGCCUUCUCUGCCUCUGAUCUAUUAGUGGCAAAGAUUGUACCCCGCUGUGGAGGUCUCUCUCCUGACUGCUCGAUCCAGCCCAGUAGAUCUCAAGGACACCUAUCAGCCAUGUGUCCCUCUUGCUUGCACUUAUAACAGACUCUCGUUCCCAUCAAACAACGACCCAGGUGGCGUUUCCCACACGUAUCAUACUGGCCUCUCUUGAGUAGUGUCUCCUGCACCGCCAGAACUCUGCUGGAAACUGCGAAAAGAAUCACCUGGUCUCAUGUUCCUCUGAGGAACUCCUACAGUUCUCUGCUCUACUUUUCUCUUUUGACCCGACGACGAUCCCUUAUUAAAGCUCCUUGGCUGUCUUUCAUCCUUCCCAAUACUCAUAUCCACUGCCAGACGCAGUGCUUCAGCUUGGGUAGUGGGCUUUAGUGCUCGCACAAAACCCCUAAUUUCAUCUCUCAAUCCCUUGACGAACCUAUCAGCUCUAGCCUGCUCAUUACUAACAAGCUCAGGGCAAAACGUGACAGCAUAUCAAACUCCUGGUCGUACUCCUCGACUGUCAUAUAUCCUUGCUUCAACUCCAAGAAUUCCUGGCUUUUGGCGUCUCUAAGGUUAGCCGAGAAAAACUUGGUAUAGAAGCAGUCCUUAAACUGAUCCCAGGUAAUCUGCCUCACAUCUCCACCUAGCAUGCGCAUGUCCUCCACCAGAUAAUGCCUCUGUCCCUCAGUAGAAAAGCAGCACACUGAACUCUAUGCUCCUCAGGACAUCUCAUGUAAUUAAAUAUGGUUUCCACAGAGGACAACCACAUUUCAGCUUUGUAGGAUCCUCCAGUGACCCAUCAAACGUCUGAGGUCAUACUUCCGAAAGUCCCUCAAAUGUUUCGCUCAGCAGAAAGUUGGUUAGGUAAUUCUUGUGCAGGAGGGGCUGCUGGUGCAGGGGGAACUACAGGUGCAGGUGGGACUGCAGGUGCCUGCUGGUUUUGAGCUAUGCUGUCAUAAGUUCUGUAAACCUCUGCUCCAUGUGAGCAGACAGUGCAUCAAACUCGACGUGAGUCACGGGUGCAGCAGGAAUUCGAUGUUCAGCUUGACCCUCAGUAGGCUGAUUACGACCUACUCCUCUACCUCGGCCUCCUGCUCCUCUACCUCGGCCUCUACGACCUCCUCUACGUACUUCCUUUAAUUUCCUAUUAUCCACCAACAACACUCUUUAACAAAAUCUUAAUCAUAACAUAAGCAAGUCUUUAUCGUCAUGCAAUCUAGUUUAAUUUAGGCAAGGUCAUAUACAUAAACCAUACAUAUAAGCAUAAAGCAUACCUGACGAGAGACGAAGGGUCGCGUUUGCCAUAGGAACACAAAAACAUAGACUUACAUCGUAAGUCAGUCUACAGAACCUAAACUUAGGCUCUGAUACCAACUGUAACGACCCAACUUUUCUAAGUAAGUCGAGAUCGUUAGUUUUUAACAAAUAAAAGACUCUGAUUAAUAUAAAACAAAACGUAAGCAAUUUAAAAAAAAAACAUCUUCAAGUCAGGCCUGAUUUUUAAACAUUCAAGAAAGUAUAAAAUAAUACUGUUUACAACAAACGUUUGUAAACUAAAUUUCAAAUCAAUCUUAAAUAAGCGGAAGCAAUUACACGUUUCCUAUGGCAUCACGCUUCCUUCCUGCCCCUCGCCGGUUUGCCGCCUUUAUUACCUUUGCCUGAAAAUCAAACAUAAGAAGGGUGAGUAUUUUAAAUACUCAGUAAGAGACCCUCUACUGGUCUCGUCAGGGGAAAAUAAAUUGUUAAAGUUCUAUUGGGACACCCUGUACAGUCGCAGUCUUGUGAUCCCGUAUGAUACACAUUUCAGUCUAACGCCCGAAGGACGUACAUAUCAGUCUGACGCCCCGAGGGACGUACAUAUCAGUCAAGUGUUCUGCAGAACACAUAUCAGUCAAAUGCUCCGAAGGUGCAAAAUAAAUUGGUGAUCCCGUGGGACACCUACAAGGUAAUCAUCCCAAUACAACCUAACAAUCUAUCCCCUCAUUCCAUUCAACCAUCCUUCAGAUACUUCAAAACAUAGAGUUCUUUCUCUCAACGUCCUAACAGUCAACUUAUCUCACUUAGGUCAUAUGUCUGUCAAUAACAUACUAAUACAUCAGUCAAUCAAACUAUACAGUCAAUACACCCCUCAGAUCACCAGCACACAGUCAUACUUUAGCGUAACGACACCCAAUCUAAACGACAAUCACAAGAUCGCAUCUGCAUCUCAUACAAGCAUAAUCUACAAUUUUCGUCCUGUCCACAUCCACACACAUAUAUAUAUAUUCCAUGACAAUCACAAUAUGCAUUCCACAUUAAGUCUACUUCAAUUCCUAUGCAUAUGUAUAUAUAUUUUCAGUCAAUCCACAGUGUACAUUCAGCACCGAAUCUACACCCAUACGUGUGUAAACAUAAGUAUCAUCUCAACAUCUUUACUCAGUCAAAGAUAAUCAUUCAGACAUGCAAUUCACAAUCAUAAGUGAGUCCAGUAGAAAAUCCCUUACCUUCAAAUUUGUUAAGCUCCUUAACCACGUUGAAGUCUAUGAAGAACGAACCUAAACAUUAAGACAAUUUCUCAAUAAUUCCCUUCAACGCAUCAGUCAUUUAAUUCAACCCAAUGUGAAUCUUUUUGCAACUUACCCAAAUCUUCACGAAAGAAAUCGAGCAGUGGCUUUGCGAAGAGAUGACGUGCGACGGAGAGACCGUAUACAGAUGGCCGGAGAGUCGCGCGGCAGUGCAGACGACGGAGGAGAAGGAAUCGGCGGCGGCUGGGCUGAAAACAGAGGAGAAAGGAGAGGGGAGACAGCCGGCGGUUACAGGUUCACGCGGCGGCCUUGCUUCGCGAACAGAGAUGGCGGCCGACGGUUGCAGCGACGGAAGAGCAACGGCGCCGCAGAUCUGGACUGGCAGCGGCGCAGUCUUGCUUCGCGGUGGGCUGCGGACGGAAGAAGAAAAUGGAAAGAAAGGAUCGGCGGCUAGCUGCGGGACGGGAAGAAGAAGAUAGAGGUGUGGUUGCGGCUGGGCUGCGGUUGGCUGCGGCGGGACGGGAAGAAGAAGAUAGAGGCGGCGGCCGUGGAGCGGAGAAGAAAAGAGGAAGAAAAAGAAGAAAGAAAAGAGAAAGGAAAAGAGAAGAGAACGGGGGGGGCUGUGCAGCGCGCGAGAGAGAGAGAGAGAGAAUUUCUUUUUCUUUUCUUUUUUUUUUAUUUAAAUUAAAUAUAUAAUAAAUAAAUAUUAUAUAUAUAUAUAUAUAUAAAAUAAAAACAAAAUAUAUAUAUAUAUAUAUACCUUUGGGGCAUUACACACUAUAUAUAAAAUUUUAAGACUCACAAAUUCACAUAACAAUAAUUUAAAUAUUCAACAAUCAAAUAAGUUUGAAUGCAAGUAUGCAAACAACAAAAUUAAAGAAAAUAUUAAAAAUGUAUUCUUAUAUUUGAAAAGUAAUCUUAACAUAUAAAAGAUAAACACUAUCACAAUAUUUGUCAAAAAGAAUGUGAUCCAACGAAGAAAAUAAAUAUCCUAAUUAAAUUUGUCAUAUAAAACAAUUAUAUUCGAAGAUACUAAUUCAGAAAGCAUUUAAAUCAAAUCCUUCAAGUAUAAAAAUUAUAGUUAAAGACAUGAAAUGACAUGAAAUACUUGAUUUUCAAUAUUUUCCUAUCUUGAAUCACUCAAAAUAAGGUUAUUUGAGUUUCUCAAAUAUAAAUUUUAUUCCUCUAACAAUAUAUAGAUAUUUUAUCCACAAUCCAUGAAAUGCUUAUCCUCGACAAGAAAAGGUUGUGAUGAAGAUCUAUGCACAUAUACCAUAUGUAAUAAGCUAAUUAAAAGUCUAAAUUUUUAGAGGAUGGAGCUUGUAAUCUAACAAGUAUAUAUGUCUAAACAAAUUCAAUAUGAUUAAGAAACUUGGAGACAAACAAUGGUCUAAUUCACUUAAAUACAAAGUAACAUUUCUAAAAGAUUUUCUUUAAAAACUAACAAAUGUCUUUUAAGCCACAACUCAAAAUUUAAUGCUCAUAUAAAAGGUUGUAUGAGUUUUACAAUGUUAUUAGAUCAAAAGUAAAAUAUAAAUAUAUUUUAACAAUCAAUUUGUAAACACAUAACUUUACAUGUAUGAUUAAAGUAGAGUACCCACAUUCUUUGAACUUUAUGUUUAAAUUCUAGAAAGAUGAAUGAUGGUGGUGAGAAGAUAAAUGAUGAAUACACCAAAUAUACAUAAGCAAGGUCACCAAAAUUAAAACACUUACCGUACUUGAAUGAAAUUCUAAAUACCUCAAAACCAUAGAGAAGAUUCCAGUGGAUCUUUUCAAAGCCAAUUUUUACACAAUCUCCAAAGUGGCGAAACUCGUGUUGAUAACGUGUUAUAAAACAAGUAUAAAGAGGCUAAAUAAGAACCUGAAACAACACACAGAAGAGAAUGAAGAAGAGAGGAAGUAGAGAACAAAUUAUCUCAAUUGUGGUGUGUUUUACAAAUGCACCACAUACAGAUUUAUAAGACAUCCCAUGGUAUGAGUUACAUAUGAAAUUCAAUGGUAUGAAUGAUACAACAAGAAAAAAAUGGAGAGUUAUAGAAAGAUGGGUAACUAGGUUAUGGAUAUCUACAUAAUUAUAUUUUCAAUAUUAUGUAUAUAGAUUAUUUAUUUAUUUUUUAAAAAUAUAUAUAACUGCCAUAAAAAUAUAAUUUUUUAAAAUAAAAAGAAUAAAAAUAUCGAUAAAUAUAAGUUGUGCUGAAUUUAUGGAAUUUAAUCUAAAAUAUAAUUUCAAAUUGUUACUAAAAAUAAUAUUAUGCAUUAUUUAAAUAUAAUUACCGAUAUUGUUUAUAAAUGAUUUAAAAUAUAAUCAAUUAAAAAUCUUGUAGAUAUAAUUUUCAUUAUUAGAGUGGUUGUUGCAAUUUUGUUGAGUAACAAAAUUUUAAAUUUAAUUAGGAUUUACUAAAAGUUAAAGAUAGUUUGUAAAAUACUCUCUUUUUGAAAUCUGCAAUUACUUACCUUAGGUUGGAGCCAAUAAAAUACAUGGUAGUGUGAAUCUAUGAAUUAUCCUAUAACUAGAGAUAGAUUCGAAAUUACUAUAAUCAAAUAAAUGGGCAUACCUAACUUUUGCAAUUUUUCUUAUUUCUGUCACCUUUUGUCACUAUUUACAAUUUUACCCUUUCUACCGUUAUCUCUUUUUAUUCAUGCAUUUCUUUGUAUAAUUCACUAUAAUCCUUCUAUUUAAAGAAGUGACUUAUACAGGUGUGAAGGUGGUGAACAUUUUUAAAAGAAAUUAAAGAAGGAUUUAUACGGGUGUGAAGGUGGUGAACAUUUUUAAAAGAAAUUAUGACUUAGGACACUAAAUUGUGAUGGUGAAUAUUUAUCUUAAAUUUUAGGAUAUUUAACUUUUUUUUUUAUUAUUAUUAUUAGUAUUAUCAUCAUCAUUAUAAUAAUAUGAUAUGCUUUAAUUGGAUUAGAGGUAAGAGAUUUUAAAGUCAAACCUUUUGAUGGAUGAUAGAAGGUGAGUGUUUAUGUUAUGUUUUAGGGUUUAGGGGCUUCGUUUGGUAGUCUUGGUAUUUGUUCAAAACCCAUAAGAAUUUAGUAAGAAGUCAUUUUAUUUACACUUUACCCGUACAUUCAUUUUUACAACCCUUUAGAAGUUGAGUUGGUUUCUAAAGGGUUCGAUUUAAAUACGGGGUUAUUAACUAUUAUAGCCUAAAUGUGAGUGUUUUAUUGCAAGUUGGACCUAAUGUUGACAAAUUUUUAAUUAAAUAUUCUAAUAUGCUUUAAUUUUACACAAAUGUAGAAUCCAAAAGACCAAACUACCAAUCUUUAUUAUUAAUAAUAUAUUUUAAAAAAUUAAUAGAAAAAUCAAAUAAGGAAAGUGGACCACACGUUAUUAAAACUUGCAUUUAUUAGAUAUCAUAUGUAAAUAUUGUAUGUGAUUAAUUUUAUUAUGAUAAUAUUAUAAUCAAAAUUACCCCUUUAUUAUUUUUCUUUUGGUGAUUUUGUUAAAAAACUCUUCCCUCCAUACGAUCUCUCUCUCAGUCCAUUCUUUCUUAUUUUGUUCAUCUCUUUCAAAUGUUUUCGGUGAGUGUAUAUUUGUUUCAUAUUAUUAAUUAUAUGUAUGAAAUUGUGAAAUAUAGUAUAUCGGUACAAAUUUUCGAUAAAUUUUUUCAAUAAAAAAAUUUACAAUGAAUGGAGUAUAUUCCAAGAAAUUUAUCGAUCUAGAAGUUUUAAUCUAGAUCAUUAUUUUGUAUUAUAGGAUAAAUAAACUUGGAAUUAAGUUUUAAUCCAUUGACCAUUGUUAAUAAAGUGUUAUUAUUGUAAUAAUUGUUAUUGAUUAUAUUAUUAGUUUUGUCUUAAUAACUCAAAUCUAAUAAACUAACAUCCUAAACUGUUUAAUAAGUAUUGAAUAGUAUGUAGAGACAUACAAGGAUCAAUGUUCGAGAUCAGCUUAAAGGGUCUAUAGUAUACGGAUAAGACUGGGUACCUUUAUCCUGGUAACAUUAUGAAUACGACUCACUUUGUAUUUGAUACAAAUACAAUGAUCCAAUGUGUUCAUGUAGUUGACAUGCGAGUGAAGGUAUCCUAUGCAAUGAGAUUGCAAUAGACUAGACUGUGAAAUAGUAACCACUUGGUGUUACUACAUUAACUAGUUAGGUUUCUAUUUCACUAGGAUGACCUAGAUAACUUAGUCUUAAUCUUGAGUGUAUUAUGAACUCAAUGAUCUUGGAUGAAUUUGACUUCAAAUACAAACUUGGAUUCCACAACCCAAACCAAAAUAAAAUAAUAUAUCAAGUUAAGAUGGAUUCACAUAGCAACAUUUUAUCAAAUGGUUGCAAUGUUUCAAAUAAGCAACAAUUAAAAUUCACAUAUCGAUUUGGCAUCUAUAAAUAUACAAACUAAAAAGUACCUAAAUGUCAAUUAUUUACCCAAUAAGGCUAACUAAGUAACCAACGUCUAAUAUGUUUUGCAAUGAAAAGGGUUGCCAUAUUGUUAAUUUGGCCAUAUUGUGAAGGCAACCUCUUAGAUGUGUUUGUGAGAAAGGAAAGAAAUACCAAAAUAAGUAUGGACUAAGAUAGUAUCAAAUAAAGUUAAAGUUGAAUUUUAAAGCUCUAUUUUUUUCAAGAUUGAGAAAUUUCAGCUAAAGAGGAAAACACUAAGGACAACCAAGCAAAAAAGUCUAACAAAUAUCAAAAGAGAACAUGCAGGAAAGAAAGAAUGUAAAUAAGGUUUUAUCCGCACCAAGCAAAAAAGUCUAACAAGUAUCAAAAGCUUUAUAAGUUUACUAGAAUUCAAAGCUCUAAACUCUAAAGAAUGUAAAUUUCUUUGAAGAAAUUUGUGUAUAAAGGUCACACAGUUGAAAAUUCAAUACCUUUUCAAGAAUGUUGUUGAGAAGAUUAUUGUGAUGAAUCUUUGAAUCCAAAUUAUGGAGACAAGAUAAAUAAAUGAGUUCUGAUUCUAACUGACUGAAUGAGAGUUAAGAAAAUAAGAACAUUGGAGUUGAAUUAUCAACAUUUAUUUUAAUCAAACUUACGAUAGCAAACCAAAUUAUAGAGAGAGAUCAAAUGCUAGGAUAAAGGAAUAGUCUUACAUUUGGUGAGUUCCCAAAUGUUGUGGUAGUCACGAGAGUUAUUCCACUCGAAUUGUCUUAGACAAGAGGCUUCCAUUCAGCAAGUACUGGUGAGAAUUAAAGUGGAAUGACAAACUUAAAAACACCUGAUCUUUAACAAACUUUUCCGACUUUUUGCAAUUAUUUUUUAACACAAGAUAUCAAAACACACUUAAAAACCAUAACAACCAAUUACCAUAAAACGCUGUCCAAUAACAAUAAUUGGGUCAACCCAAACAUCAUUAAAUUCUUGGGAAAGGUUGUGGACUAGACCUUCACCAUCUUGCCCCUAAAGCAAGUUAAAGCUUAAGGAAAGAACACAGUAGAAACAAAAAUCAUAAACUCAUCAGUUAGAUAGUUUUGGUGGUCAAAACCUCAAGGUCUCACUUCUUCCAUUUUAUAUUACCAAAUUUGAAAAUGAUUUUUAAUAUAUGAUCAAUCCUUGAAACAUGUUGGUGUACAAGUGUGAAUGAAACUAAAUCAAGUUUGUGUUUUAUGUUAUUGUUUUUGACAUUAUAUUUAUGUGCUAUGCAAUCCAUGAGAAUAUAUUUAUGUGCUAUGCAAUCCAGAAGGGGGAAUGCAACUAUACCCAAUUCAUAAUUGUAUUUGGAACACUAAUGAUUUUAGCACAAAUUCCAUCUUUCCAUUCUCUAAGACAUAUAAACCUUAUCUCCCUCACUCUAUACCUUGGCUAUAGUGCUCUUGCAACAUAUUAAAAUUCUCGUAAUUAAAAAUUCAUACACAAUUUAAAUUAAAUUAAACAUCAAGACCCUGACGAAGAUGAAUCUCUGUUCAUUUUUCUUUUUAUUAACAAACAAAAGUUUUUAGGUCCACUUCUUUCAACAACCUCCUCAAGGAUCCUUAAUUAUCUCUAUCCAAGUUCAUAACCACUCUAGUCAUGCAAAGAUUAAGGUUCAUGGCCAAUCAACAAUUAAUCUGUGAUUAAGAUAUUAUGAACGUUAUUCACAUAAAAACAUGAAAAGAUUAAGAGCAAAUAAUCAGAUGCAUUACAAAGAAUAAUUCAUAAACUUUGUCUACAUCUAUCCCUAGGUUUAAGAGUUUAGCUACCCCAUACUUCACAAUCUAAAACACAAAACUCAAUAUAAUACCCAUAACAAAAAUUCAAGGAGAAGAAAAGCUAGUGAUUCAUAUUAUUAUAAUACUGUGUAUAACAGUAUGUGUUUUUUAAUAUUCUCUGUUUCCAGCUCCAGUGUACCAAAAUAUUAUCACAAACUCCACAAUCCUUCUCUUUCCAAUCCCUAAACUAACCAAUGAAUCAUAUUCGCACGCUUGGUAGCCUUGUUCAAAAUAUUAUAUAUUACAAUUAUAAUAACUUGUAUCCCCCCUUUUCAAGCCUAAAAUGCAAAACCUUUCUUCCAUUCUCUAAGGCAUAUUUCCUCUUCUUUAAUUUUGCAUUCCAAUUUUAAAUUACAAAUUACAAAUUUUAAUCACAAAGGAAAAAAGGAAAAUUAUUACCUUUAGAAAGGGAAGAAAAUGAAUGAGUAACCAUGAAGGAUUUGGAAACGAAUAGAGGUUUAGCGAAAGUGGAAUGCGACAGAAGGAUGGUGAACGUGUUUACUCGUUUUCGAACAGAGAAUGUGUUUACGCAUUCCGAACGGUGAACAGACGGACGCAAAUCAACGAAGGUGAAGGGAACGCAAAGCAGACGGACCGUGACGGACGAUGAACGCAAAUGAAUGAAGGUGAUGUUGGAAUUUUUUGUCCUAAAACUCGUAGUUUGUAAAUCAUAUUCUGUUCAAUAAAGUUGUUAUUGAGAAAUUAAAUAUUAUAAUCUUAAAUCCAAUAAAUCAAGUUCCAAGGCUAUUUUUUGAAUAAACUUGAACUUUAUGUGUAAACAUAAACGUGGAUCAAGUUCGAGUAUAUAGCCUAAAUAGUCUAUAGUAUAUGAAAUAAAGGUUGGGCGCCUUAUUUUGAGAAACUAUGGAUGCGGCCCACUUUGUAGUACAAACGAGGUGAUCCUAAUCGUUCAUGUAGAGACAUGAAAGUGGGGGCAUCCUAUGUAAAAUGUUUACAUAAGACUGAACCAUGAAUUAGUCAUUUUUACGUUAUAACACCGUUUACUGUUUAAAACUGACUAUCUCAAUUAUUGAUGACCUAGGUAACUUAGUCUUAAUCCUGAGUUAACUAUGAACUCCUGUUCACACGAGAUUAUCCUUAGAUCUGCAUAGGUGAGGGCAGCUCAUCAGCGUUGGCCCAAUAAGCCUCCCAUUUCAGGGGUAAGAUCGGGUGGAUAGCUGGGAACAUAGGGUACAAGAUGGAAUUCACUCCUACCCGCUUUAGGGUUAGUAGAUAGGUUGCUCUCUUAAGCACUGAAUCCAAGUCUUGAACAAGGGGCCCCACCCUCUCAUUGGCCCGAGAGGGAUUAAGUUUAUAGGUUGAACCUUAAACAAUUGUUCAAUAGUGGAUUAGUGGGACUUAAGGAGCAAGAUGUAAUCUUGGGGGUAAAACGGUAUUUUGACCCAGCCAAGGUUACGAGCAACCUGUGAAGGAUUAACUUACUGAUUAUGGUUUUAUCAAAUGGACACAAAUAUAUCUAUAGUGAGGGGAGUGCAACUAUGGGACUUUAGUGGAAUGACCCGUUAGUUAACGAAUGUUGAUUAACUCGGUUUAAAAGAGUUUAGCUAGUUAAUCUUGAAUCGUUAGAGCCCAUGAUCUAUAGGUCCAUUAGGUUCCUCCGCUAGCUCAUAUGGAUUAAACUUAGAACAGUGUGAUGAAAUAAGUCGAAUUGUUCGAAUUGGGAGAAGAAAGGGAAACCGACAUAUACAGUGAUAUAGUCGUCGAUCUUCUAAUUAGAAAUAGAGCUUUAUGUUUUACAUACUAUAAGUAUGAAUGCGGAUUCAUACUAAGAAGCUCGGAAUUGGUCAAAAAUAGUAAAAAGUCAAAAUGUUGACUUUUGACUUUGAAAAGUCAAACUUUGACCGGCCUUAUAUUCAAAUGUGAUUUGAAUUUUGGAAAAAUGAAUGCGGAUUCAUGCUCGGGAGGUUGGAAUUAGUCAAGACGGACAAAAUGGUAAAAAGUCAAAAUAUUGACUUUUGACUAAGAAAAGUCAAAGUUUGACUUUUGACUAGAAAUAUCUAAUGACCAUUUUACCCUUGGACUAAGUUAGUGGAAAAAUCCAACAUUUUGUUGGAUAAUCCCACUAACUCUUAGUGGGAUAUGUGGCUAUAUGAGAUAUAGACACCUAGCCCACUAAGUUCCACUAAUUGUUAGUAGAACAUUAGGUGUUGAGAUUUGGCAAAUGAAUUGCAUGCAUUUUUGCAUGUAAUUAGGCUAUAAAUAGAGGUGUUUUCAAAUGUUGAAGAACUUUUGCCUCUUUUAUCAUUUUCAUCAUCUCAACAAAAGAAAAGAGAAAGCUUCCAAUCUCAUUUUAUCUCCAUUACUUUCUACACCAAAAUUGGGUCCACAACCGGUUAUUUGUCUAGAGCUAGCAGUUGAGUACUAGUGGGUCUCGGUUAGAAUUGGUAAGAAUAUCAAACCUUUUGAAAGCUUCAAAGGUAAUAUUUCUUAAAACCUAAUUUGAUUAGUUUAUGGUUACAUGUUAAUUGUGGCAAUUAGGGUAGAAAUUCGAUUCUUUUUCCGCUGUGCAUGACUUAGUUCUAUCAGGUGAAUGCUUAUGAACGCGAAGGGAAGUCUUUUUCGGCGAUGAACGCAGAUGAAUGCACAGAUGAACGUGAAGGGAAGGUUAGGUGAACGACGCUUUUGAUUUCGGGUGGAGAGAGACAAAGUCGCGGCGAAUUAAGUUUAAUUAAGAAAAGGGGAAGUGAUCAAAUUGAAACGUUGUGUUUUGUAAAAGAAUAUUAACACAAUAAUUUUUAGAAAUUUCUUGACGUUUUUAAAACGUCAAAAACAAAUUAAAAUUUCUCUCAAUGGAUUUUUUAGAAUUAUCUUGACGUUUUAAAACGUCAAGAAUUUUAUAAAUUUCUUGACGUUUUUAAAAUGUCAAGAACUUUUUAGAAUUAUCUCGACAUUUAAAAAUGUUUAAAAUUUGUUAAAACGUCGAGGAAAACUAUAUAUUAUGACGUUUAUUUGAAUUCAUGAACAUUCUUGACGUUUUUUAAACGUCAAAAAAUUAUUAGAUAUUUCUUGAUGUUUAAAAAACGUCAAGAAAAAAUACAUCUUACUUGACGUUUAAUUGCACAAAAAACGUCAAGAAAAAACGUCAAGAAGUUGAAAAUUGGCCUUUCAUAAAAAUUCUUGCGUUUUUUUUUAUGAAAUCACAUCUUUCUUGACGUUUUUUUCUCAAAACAUCAAGAAAGGAAAACUACAACCGUCAAGAGAGCCUAUUUUUGUAGUAGUGAUGGGACAAGACUGAGUGGGGAGUUGGGAUUAUAAUUGCACAAAAUGGAAUUCACUCAUUUCCUACUUUAGGGUAAGUGAUGAAUGUUAGCUUAAAUGGUGUCUCAAAACUUGAACAAAGGGCACGUACCCUCUCUAUGACAUGAGAGGGGUUUUUGUUUAUUAGUAGGACCAUAAACAAGCACUACUAGAAAAUAGGCUUUCUUGACCGGUUGCUGUCUUCGUUCUUGAUUUUUUUUUCGAAAAACGUCAAGAAAGAUUUCAUUUUUAAUAAAAAACGUCAAGAAUUUUUUCUGAAACAUCAUUCUUGACGUUUAUUAAACGUCAAGAAAAAAUAAAUUUUUUCUUGACGUUUUUAAACAUCAAGAAAUAUCUAUUAAUUUUUUGACGUUCUUAAAACGUCAAGAAGCGUAUGAAUUCGACAUGUUUGACGUUUUUAAACGUCAAGAAUUUAAAAUUUUACUUGACGUUUUAAAAACGUCAAAAAAUUUAUAAAAAAAUCCUUGACAUUUUUUAAAAAACGUCAAAAAAUUUAUAAAAUAUUUGACGGUUUUAAAACGUCAAGAAAUUUAUAAAAUAUUCUUGACGGUUUUAAAACGUCAAGAAAUUUAUAAAAAUUCUUGACGUUUUUUAAUCGUCAAGAACUCUCCUCGCUCGCGCGCUCGUUGUAAUAAUAAUAAUGAUAAUGAUAUGUUAUUGUUAUAUAUAUAUUUUGUUUUUUUUAUUUUAUAUAAUAUAUAUAUAUAUAUUUAUUAUUUAUAUUUAAUUUAAAUAAAAAGAAAAGAAAAAGGAAAAAGAAAUCUCUCUCACUCUCUCCCUCGCGCGCCGCGACCCCCCCCCCUUUCCCUUCUCCUUUCCCUUCUCCUUUCCUUUCUUUCUCUUUUCCUUCCGCCCUUCCCUUCCGUCUUUCUUUCCGCCGCAGCCCAGCCGCCCCAUCCCUUCCCCUUCUCUCCGUUCGCGAAGCAAAAACCGCCACGACCGACCUCCAUUCCUCUUUCUUCCGUUCGCAGCCGCCGCAAACCGUCGCUCCUUCCCUUCCAUUUUCUUCUUCCGUCCGCAGCCUGCCGCAAACCGCCGCGUCUCCCUACUGAAGCCGAGCGCCGCGACCCUUCUCCUCUUCUCUUCAGUUCGCAAAGCAGCCGUACGCGUCCAGAUCUGCCGCCUUCAGAUCUGCACCGCAAGACCGCGCCGUUGCCCUUCGCCGCUGCCGGUCCAGAUUUGCGUCGCCGUGCACAGCCUCACCGCGCUGCAACCGUUUCCGGCGUCUUGUUUCUGUCUCCGUCGAAGCCGAGCCACCGUGUGAAGCAGUAACCGGCCACGUCCGCCGCUCACAACCGCCGUCCAAGCCAGCCGCCGCGAUCCCUUCUCCUCCGUUGUCUGCACUGCCGCGCGACUCUCCGGCGUCUGUAUACGGUCUCUCCGUCGCACGUCGUCUCUUUCGCAAAGCUACUGCUCGAUUUCUUUCGCGAAGAUUUGGGUAAGUUGUAAAAAGAUUCACAUAAAAUGUUGUUGAUUAAUAUAAAAUCGAUAUAUCACAUGGUGCUUUGGGUUCUCCUUACAAAUCCAAUGGAGUUGAUGAUUGAUAUGAGAAGAUACAGAUUGAUAAAGGGAGAUAUGGCUUAUACGGGACCGUAUUUACCUACUGUCACACAGUAGGUGAGUAAUGUAACUAUUUUCCCUAAGACUCAUUUCUCUAGAAUAAACGACAUCAUUUCUUUAGUUAGAUCUCGUAUUAUGUUUUGAUAUCUUGACUUUAUUAGGUAGUCUAAUUACAAGCUCAGGACAUCGAACCAUUUUCUUCUUUGACCACAGUACUGAAGGUGCGUUGUUCUGUCUUCUACUCUUGUCUAACUUCUCUUUUUGGGGCAGAUCAUUAGCAAAUAUUUGAUGCUUUAAGUUGCGUGCAUAAUAUAGGUUUUUCUGUUGUUUUGGUGUGUUCUAGGAUUUAAUUUUUGAGUAAAUGUUGUAACUAAUGUUCAGUGCUUGCUCUGUUAUAACAUGUCUUUUAUAUGCAUAAUUCUUUUAGCUGGAAUUUCUCUAUCAAAUAUAGUUGCACCACCCAUUGUCUCUGGUCACCAACCAUGUUGCCAAGGACAUUUGGGUUACCAAGCGAUUCUUGGUAAAUAGCUACUUCAUUGAUGUUUUUUUUAUAUCAGUUCAUGGAUUUGGAUGAUUUUGUUAUGUAUGAAUUCUGGCAAAUGAUGACGAAUUUGGAAUCUACAAAUCAAUAUCGUGUUCCUCCUAGGAUUUUGUGUAGAAUUUUUGCUCAAAUAUUGUUGUUAAUUGAUGAUGAAUUGCUUGCUUUGUCUAGGGAUUGAAUUUUAUGGUGUUUCAUGUGCUCUUUGAUAAUGAUCAUGAUGGUUUUGAUUUGUUACUUCCUUGCACAUAUUGGUAUCAGUUGGUUUAAUAAUUAUUAAUUGGGUGUAUGAUGCUCGUUGUGAUUUAUAAUUGAAUUUUUGUAUAUAUUGCUUCAGCUAUUAUUGAUAUGAAUGUGUGAGUAAUAUUGUUUAAUUUUUUAACCAUGUUUGCACUUUCAAUAUUGUUUAAUUUUUUUGUGUUACACUUUCAUAUUAACUAUAGUUGCAAAAAUAGGUAACAAGAAUUUAUUUUUUUAGAACUUAAAACAACAAUGGUUGGAUAUCCAGUUGUGAUUUAUGCAUAUUUUAUUUGUAUUGGCUUUUUGUUGAUUGUGUUGAAAGAAAGUUAUAGUUCAAAGUGUUAGAGGCUUGGCCACCUUAGAUUUGCAAUUUCAUUAUGUCUUACUCUUCCGUGCAUUAUAAUUAUAAGUGUGUAGAAAAACAUGUGGUGUUUGUUUAAUUAUACAAUGUACUUACUUUCCCUCAUGUGUGCAUUAUAAGUAUUUUCUGGCUUACUAAUAACUUCAUUGAAAUUCUAGUUAAUUUAUUUAUGGUCUAUCGCUAAACAAUUACACAAGCUGAAGUGAAUGAAUAAAUGUGCAAACACAAAAUCUACUAUGAUGUUGAGUUGAAUAGUGAUGGAUGGAUUUCUAUUAUGCUAUGUUAUAUUAAUUAUCAUCAAAAAAAUUUCAGGCUGCGAGAAUCGAUGACUUAGAGCUUUUUCGUCGCGACUUGGAGCUUUUCAAACUGCUAUUGGGAAGUUUUUGGAUAGUUUUUAGAUAAGUUAGUUAAUUUAGGAAGUUGAGUUGAACUUAUGACAAUCUAAUGAGAUUGUUUAUAUUUUUUUGCAAAGGAUAUGAAAUAUUCAUAUAUGUAUUGUUUUGGAAAUGAUUAUAUAUAAAUAUGGUGAAGCGUUUUAUUUAUAUAUGUUCAAGUUUUGAAACUAUAUUUGAUGAAUAUCGUCCAUUUAUAUAUAUGAAACUAUUGUUAGACUACUAUACAGAAUUAUGGGAGCACAAACAAAAAUACAAUUAAAUUAUUAUUUAAAAAAAAACUAUGAAACAUGCUUGACGGUUGUAAAAUGUCAUAAACAAUCAAUUUCUUGACGGUUAUUAAAUGUCAUGAACAUCUCACACCCUUGACGGUUUUUAACUGUCAUGAAAAUUUAUACUUGACAUUUAUAGAACGUCAACUUUCACUAUUCUUGACGUUUUUAUCAACCUUCAAGAACUUGCACUUUCUUGACACUGGCUUCAACGACUGUUUUAAAACCGUCAAGAAUAGUGAUUCUUGACAGUUUUAAAACGUCAAGAGAGCUAGUUUUUGUAGUAGUGAAGUUGUUCAUUAGAGGAGCACUGGUUUUUAAGGAUUAGAGGUAACAUAGGGGUAAAGCGGUAAAUUGAUCCAACUGGUGUUACAAACACUCGUGAAGGACUAACUUACUAUUAUUGGUCUAUAUCCGUGGACACAUAAAUAUAUUUUUAGUGAGAAGAGUUCAGUUGUGAGUCUUUAGUGGAGUGUACACACAACUAACGAAUAUUGAUUAAUGUGGUUAAUGAGUUUAGCCAAUUAAUCUUAGAUCGUUGUAGCUUCUAAUCUGUAGGUCCAUUAGGUCCCUUUCCUAGCUCGUAAAGGGUGAUGAGAUUUAUUUAUAUUGGUUGUAAUUUAAAAUGUUUAAAUUUAACUUGGGAAUUAGUAUAAUGUAUAGUGAUACAUUAUAAUAUAAAGUUUAUCAAACUUUACUAUAUAAAUUUAACUUUGGGGAUGAUUCAAAAUUAAUUUAUGAGAGAUAAAAUAUUUGAAUGAGUUCAAAUAUUAAUUUAAUGUGAAUUGGAUUCAUAUUAAAAUUAUUGAGAGAAACUUAUAUUUGAAUAUGAUUCAAAAUUAAUUUAAGUUAAAUAUAAGAUAAAUAAUUUAGUGUUAUUAGUUAAUUGGAGAAUUAAUUAAUAGUUUAGUUUAAUAUUAUUUAAUUAAAUUCGAUUUCAUUAAUUAUUAACUAAUUGAUUAAUGUUUAAUUAAUCAGUAGAUUUGAAAUAUAUAUUAAUUUAAUUAUUUGUAAAUUAAUAGAAUCUCAUGGUUCUCUUCUACUUCAUUUUCUAUUCUAAAGGAAAGAGAGUUAUAAUAUCUAGAAGAAAACAAUUUUCUUAAAAAAAUGAAUUAAUAAAAAAAGAAAAAAUAAGGCUAACGCUAUUGUUUUGCAAAAAGAAAAGAGUUUCUCUCAAAUAUCUCUAAACUUUUUCCCAUCCCAAUUGGUUCCACAAACCAAUCUCAUCACAGAGGUACUCUUUGCAAUUUAAGCUCUCUUUGCAAUGGACAGUCUUCAAAGUUUUUUUUAACGAUGUUUCCAAUGCUUUCCUUUCUCUCUCAUGUUUAAUAAAACCAAUUUCUCUUAAAACCUGUAGGGAGGCUACAUCGUAUCGAAUUUCAUACAACUGACGUGUUCAUCGAGUUACAACAAGUGCCGCACAAUAGUCUGUUCCGUGUUUGAAAAGUUGUGAGUGUGACACGCUGCACAUGAGGUUAGAACGAGACAUGGCAAGGCAAGCCCUACGCGCGCCUGCCAACUUCUGCCACAAUAUUUUGUACGCAAGCUAAUGUCUUUGGGCUGUUUUUGUGGUUUUUGGAAAUUUUAAGCAAAGUUUUGAUAUUUUUAUGAUCAACGGGAAUUAAAUGGAAUUAUUUCCCAUUAUUUUUAUUAUUUUAGAUCUGAAGGAGAUCGAACAAGUUUAUAAGACAAGGGUCCAAGCUACUCUCUAUAAGUGACAAAAAUGAGUUUAAAGUUGAUUUCUAAACAUGAAUUUACUAUCAAAUGUUUCAAGCAUGCUUUGAUGUUUGAAUAUUUGAGGAUACUGACAUAUAAAGUAUUUCCAAAGCAUGAAUUUAGAAACAUUUUGGUAAACAUGUUUUUAUUGAUGAAUUUACUAAUGAAAAUUAUAAGCAAUUAUGAUUGUGCUAAGUUUUCAAAAUGUUUAAGCUUGAAAAUAAUAUUAGCAUGUUUUAGUCUAUACCUAAAAUAUUCUAAGAUAUAUAGCAACCCUUCGGGAGAGAUUUUCUUGUGCAUAGAGGUCAUUUGAUUUGGAUAUUCAGUAAAUACCUAGCUUUCCAUCAUUGGUAUUAGAUAAGAGAUGAAGACUUCUAAAGAUGCUUAGUUUCCCAUCUCAAGGGACGAGAGCCUGUACGAAUGCCUAGUUUUCCAUCUCAUUGUAGUUAUAACGAGAUAGGGCACAAUUGAUGCCUAGAGUUUCAUCUCGUAAGUAUCGUAUCACGGGAUAGGGCUUCUAUGCCUAGUUUAUUGUUUUUCGUCUCGACGAUUCUAGGUAUAGCAACUGAAAGGGAAAGUUUGAGAUAAGUUGUUUGAGUUUGAUUUCAUUUAUGUUAAGAGUUAAUUGUUAAAUACUUAUUAUUUCAAAACGAUGUUUUAUAAAACAAUCACUCAUUGGGCUAUUUAGCUCACUCUUUGGAUAAAUAUCCCCAUAUGGAUUACGUUGUUUGGAAAAUUAAACUGUGCUUUAGUACUUCAAAGAAAACUUCCCUCCCAUGUCCUCUCACCUCAUGUGCCCCAUUUGUGUUGAUAACAUGAAAAAUAUUUAGCACCUUUUAAUUGACUAUGUCUUUAUAUCGAAAUGUUGGUUCCAUCUUCUCCAAACAUUCAAUAUUUGUUGGGAUUUUUUGCUCAAUCAAGGCUUAUUCUUCUUUGUUCUCGACCUGCUACCUAUGAUUUAUGAUUUUUUUUUGACAUAUUAUUUUAUGAUUUUGUUUGGUUUUAUAUUUGUGGCUUUUUUUUUGUUUUUGUUUUUUUUUUUUUGAAAAGGAGACAACCUCUUUAUUAAUAUUAAAAUAAUAAUAAUAAUUAGACAAAAGCUCAUAGUACAAGAGAGUUAUACAAUGAAUAUGUAACCAUGGAUCAGGGGGGCACCUUGGCAUCUCAACUAGGUUGACACCCCCAUAGCACCCUCAUCAUAUCCAACCAAGCUAAAACCCAUAACAAAGGAGUAAUGUCCAAAGGCAAAACAAACACAAAAAAAGCCUUCUAUUUGUGGCUUUUGGUUUUGAUCUUGUGUUGUCGCUUUUUGGAUGUGAUGAGGGCGCUAAGGGGGUGUCAACCUAGUUGAGAUGUCCAGGUGCGUCUGUUGAUCCUCUAUCCUAUUGCUCUUUGUAUAAUCCUCAUGACAUUGAGCUUUGUCUCUUCAUUUUUCAAUAUUAAUAAUAGUGAAACUCAUAUCCUCUUUUUUUUUAAAAAAAAUAUGGGUUAAUUUGAUAAAAGUGUUGCUAGCAGAGAUUUGGUUUGAGCACAACCAACACAUUUUCCAUGAUAACAAAAGGGAUUUGCGUGGUGAAAAUAGAUCUAUUAGAUCUCUUGGAGCAAUAAAAAAGAAAUAAGAUCUUUAUGUGAAAGUCGAACUUUUCUUUAUGGAGCAUUGUGAAGAAAGGCCUUUACUUUUGGGCAACAUUGGAAUUGGGGCAUGGUUGUGCGCUUAUUAUCAAAAGUUGCCCCUAACGAUCAAACUGGUUCACUGUUGCGAACUGGUGGGUUAGUUUAGGACAUGUCAUUAUUCUUGAACCUUCAGAUAAAUCUCCUUAUCUUAGGGAAUUAAAAGUUGUUCAACACAGGCUUGAAACAGACAUGUAUAGGGCUUCUGUAUUUUCCCAUAAGGAGCCAAUGAUUGAUUAUAUAUUGGUCUGUUUUGCAAAGGGAAAGAAUGUAACGACCCAACUUUUCUAGGUAAGUCGAGGUCAUUAAUUUUUAACAAAAGACUUUGGUUGAUACAAAAUGAAACGUAAGUCAAUUGAAAAACAAAUUUAUGUCAGGCCUGAUUUUUCAAAUAUUCAAGAAAACUUAAAAAUAAUACUAUUUACAAAUAAAAGUUUGUAAACUAAGUUUUAAUACAUCUUAAACCUCAAAAGAAACCAUAAGCGGAAGCAAAAUGACACGUUUCCUAUGGCAAUCACGCUUCCUUCCUGCCCCUCGCCGGUUUGCCACCUUUAUUACCUUUACCUGAAAAUUAAACAUAAGAAGGGUGAGUAUAACAAUACUCAGUAAGAGACCCUCUACUGGUCCCGUCAGGGGAAAAUAGAUUGUUAACGUUCUAUUGGGACACCCUGUACAGUCGCAGUCUUGUGAUCCCGUAGGAUGCACAUCUCAGUCUAACGCCCCGAGGGACGUACAUAUCAGUCUAGUGUUCUGCAGAAACACAUAUUAGUCUAAUGCUCCGAAGGUGCAAAAUAAAUUGGUGAUCCCGUGGGACACCUACAAGGCACACAUCCCAAUAAAAGCUAACAAUUUUCCCC